Non-coding RNA from Apis mellifera (honey bee), 129 nucleotides. The record is from RefSeq and is marked provisional. NCBI's taxonomy places the organism in Eukaryota, Metazoa, Arthropoda, Insecta, Hymenoptera, Apidae.
GGAUUGGUAGAUGUGAAAGAGAAAGAAGAACUGACUUUAAUAUGUCUUCUAUUAUUAAAAAUGCAUUUUUGUAAUCUAAUCUGCAUAUAUUGGAAUUAUUUUUUCAUUUUCUUUAAUAUUUCAAGUAUA